GAGUUUGAUCCUGGCUCAGGACGAACGCUGGCGGCGCGCCUAACACAUGCAAGUCGAACGCGGCUUUUCCCGCAAGGGAAAAGCUGAGUGGCAAACGGGUGAGUAACACGUGGGUGACCUGCCUUCGAGUGGGGGAUAACGUUUCGAAAGGAACGCUAAUACCGCAUAACAUCCUGUCUUUUAAGAGAUGGACAUCAAAGCCUGGGACCGCAAGGCCAGGCGCUUGAAGAGGGGCCCGCGUCUGAUUAGCUAGUUGGUGGGGUAAUGGCUCACCAAGGCAACGAUCCGUAACCGGCCUGAGAGGGCGGUCGGUCACACUGACACUGACAUACGGGUCAGACUCCUACGGGAGGCAGCAGUCGGGAAUUUUGGGCAAUGGGCGAAAGCCUGACCCAGCAACGCCGCGUGAAGGAUGAAAUCCCUCGGGAUGUAAACUUCGCAAGAACGGGAAGAAUAAGUAGGGGACAAUACCCCCUAUGAUGACGGUACCGUUUGUAAGCUCCGGCUAACUCCGUGCCAGCAGCCGCGGUAAUACGGGGGGAGCAAGCGUUGUUCGGAUUUACUGGGCGUAAAGGGCGCGUAGGCGGCCAGCACAAGUCAGUUGUGAAAUCUCCGAGCUUAACUCGGAAAGGUCAACUGAUACUGUGCGGCUAGAGUGCGGAAGGGGCAACUGGAAUUCUUGGUGUAGCGGUGAAAUGCGUAGAUAUCAAGAGGAACACCUGCGGCGAAGGCGGGUUGCUGGGCCGACACUGACGCUGAGGCGCGAAAGCCAGGGGAGCGAACGGGAUUAGAUACCCCGGUAGUCCUGGCCUUAAACGAUGAAUGCUUGGUGUCUGGGGUUAUAUAGUCCCCGGGUGCCGUCGCUAACGCUUUAAGCAUUCCGCCUGGGGAGUACGGUCGCAAGACUGAAACUCAAAGGAAUUGACGGGGACCCGCACAAGCGGUGGAGCAUGUGGUUUAAUUCGACGCAACGCGAAGAACCUUACCUGGGCUAGAAUGCCUCUGACAACCCUAGAGAUAGGGCCUCCAAGGUAAAACUUGGCAGAGUGCAAGGUGCUGCAUGGCUGUCGUCAGCUCGUGUCGUGAGAUGUUGGGUUAAGUCCCGCAACGAGCGCAACCCUUGUCCCUAGUUGCUACGCAAGGGCACUCUAGGGAGACUGCCGGUGACAAGCCGGAGGAAGGUGGGGAUGACGUCAAGUCCUCAUGGCCCUUACGGGUUGGGCUACACACGUGCUACAAUGGCGGUGACAGAGGGCAGCUACUUCGCGAGGAGAAGCUAAUCCCUAAAAGCCGUCUCAGUUCAGAUUGCACUCUGCAACUCGGGUGCAUGAAGUUGGAAUCGCUAGUAAUCGCUAAUCAGCAGGUAGCGGUGAUACGUUCCCGGGCCUUGCACACAC
This 1397-nucleotide ribosomal RNA is filed under the name uncultured bacterium. RNAcentral describes it as "bacterial SSU rRNA". It matches the Rfam family "Bacterial small subunit ribosomal RNA". The record is from RNAcentral.